Molecule: ribosomal RNA, 112 nt
Filed under: Shigella sonnei 4822-66
Lineage: Bacteria; Pseudomonadati; Pseudomonadota; Gammaproteobacteria; Enterobacterales; Enterobacteriaceae
Source: RNAcentral
CUGGCAGUUCCCUACUCUCGCAUGGGGAGACCCCACACUACCAUCGGCGCUACGGCGUUUCACUUCUGAGUUCGGCAUGGGGUCAGGUGGGACCACCGCGCUACGGCCGCCA